AGAGUUUGAUCCUGGCUCAGGACGAACGCUGGCGGCGUGCCUAACACAUGCAAGUCGAACGGAGAAUUUCAAUAAGUUUACUUAGCGAAAUUUUUAGUGGCGGACGGGUGAGUAACGCGUGGGUAACCUAUCCAUAAAUCCGGGACAACCCUUGGAAACGAGGGCUAAUACCGGAUAAUCUUAAGAAGUGGCAUCACUUUUUAAGGAAAGGUGGCCUCUGUAUAUGCUACCGAUUAUGGAUGGACCCGCGUCUGAUUAGCUAGUUGGUGGGGUAAAGGCCUACCAAGGCGACGAUCAGUAGCCGGCCUGAGAGGGUGAACGGCCACACUGGGACUGAGACACGGCCCAGACUCCUACGGGAGGCAGCAGUGGGGAAUCUUCCGCAAUGGACGAAAGUCUGACGGAGCAACGCCGCGUGUAUGAUGAAGGUCUUCGGAUUGUAAAGUACUGUCUUUGGGGAAGAACGGUAGAUUUGAAAAUAUUGAGUCUACAUGACGGUACCCAAGGAGGAAGCCCCGGCUAACUACGUGCCAGCAGCCGCGGUAAUACGUAGGGGGCAAGCGUUGUCCGGAAUUAUUGGGCGUAAAGGGCGCGUAGGCGGAUAGUUAAGUCCGGUGUGAAAGAUCAGGGCUCAACCCUGAGAGUGCAUCGGAAACUGGUUAUCUUGAGGACAGGAGAGGAAAGUGGAAUUCCUAGUGUAGCGGUGAAAUGCGUAGAUAUUAGGAGGAACACCAGUGGCGAAGGCGACUUUCUGGACUGUAACUGACGCUGAGGCGCGAAAGCGUGGGGA
Molecule: ribosomal RNA, 790 nt
Filed under: uncultured bacterium
Lineage: Bacteria
Description: bacterial SSU rRNA
Rfam family: Bacterial small subunit ribosomal RNA
Source: RNAcentral